Molecule: long non-coding RNA, 1761 nt
Filed under: Oncorhynchus kisutch (coho salmon)
Lineage: Eukaryota; Metazoa; Chordata; Actinopteri; Salmoniformes; Salmonidae
Description: lncRNA (ENSOKIG00005032415.1)
Source: RNAcentral
CUGUACUGCCCAGCCCAACACACUGCUACAGUAAUGCCCAGCCCAACACACUGCUACUGUACUGCCCAGCCCAGCACACUGCUACUGCCCAGCCCAACACACUGCUACUGUACUGCCCAACACACUGCUACUGUACAGCCCAGCCCAACACACUGCUACUGUACUGCCCAACACACUGCUACUGUACUGCCCAGCCCAACACACUGCUACUGUACUGCCCAGCCCAACACACUGCUACUGUACUGCCCAACACACUGCUACUGUACUGCCCAGUCCAACACACUGCUACUGUACUGCCCAGUCCAACACACUGCUACUGUACUGCCCAGCCCAACACACUGCUACUGUACUGCCCAGCCCAACACACUGCUACUGUACUGCCCAGCCCAACACACUGCUACUGUACUGCCCAGUCCAACACACUGCUACUGUACUGCCCAGCCCAACACACUGCUACUGUACUGCCCAGCCCAACACACUGCUACUGUACUGCCCAGCCCAACACACUGCUACUGUACUGCCCAACACACUGCUACUGUACUGCCCAACACACUGCUACUGUACUGCCCAACACACUGCUACUGUACUGCCCAGCCCAACACACUGCUACUGUACUGCCCAGCCCAACACACUGCUACUGUACUGCCCAGCCCAACACACUGCUACCGUACUGCCCAACACACUGCUACUGUACUGCCCAGUCCAACACACUGCUACUGUACUGCCCAGUCCAACACACUGCUACUGUACUGCCCAGCCCAACACACUGCUACUGUACUGCCCAACACACUGCUACUGUACUGCCCAGUCCAACACACUGCUACUGUACUGCCCAGUCCAACACACUGCUACUGUACUGCCCAGCCCAACACACUGCUACUGUACUGCCCAGCCCAACACACUGCUACUGUACUGCCCAGCCCAACACACUGCUACUGUACUGCCCAGUCCAACACACUGCUACUGUACUGCCCAGCCCAACACACUGCUACUGUACUGCCCAGCCCAACACACUGCUACUGUACUGCCCAGCCCAACACACUGCUACUGUACUGCCCAGCCCAACACACUGCUACUGUACUGCCCAGUCCAACACACUGCUACUGUACAGCCCAGUCCAACACACUGCUACUGUACUGCCCAGCCCAACACACUGCUACUGUACUGCCCAGCCCAACACACUGCUACUGUACUGCCCAGCCCAGCACACUGCUACUGUACUGCCCAACACACUGCUACUGUACUGCCCAGUCCAACACACUGCUACUGUACUGCCCAGUCCAACACACUGCUACUGUACUGCCCAGUCCAACACACUGCUACUGUACUGCCCAGCCCAACACACUGCUACUGUACUGCCCAGCCCAACACACUGCUACUGUACUGCCCAGCCCAACACACUGCUACUGUACUGCCCAGCCCAACACACUGCUACUGUACUGCCCAGCCCAACACACUGCUACUGUACUGCCCAGCCCAACACACUGCUACUGUACUGCCCAGCCCAACACACUGCUACUGUACUGCCCAGCCCAACACACUGCUACUGUACUGCCCAACACACUGCUACUGUACUGCCCAGCCCAACACACUGCUACUGUACUGCCCAGCCCAACACACUGCUACUGUACUGCCCAGCCCAACACACUGCUACUGUACAGCCUAACACACUGCUACUGUACAGCCCAGCACACUGCUACUGUACUGCCCAGCCCAACACACUGCUACUGUACUGCCCAGCCCAACACACUGCUACAGUAA